GAAAGUAAUGUCUGCUGAAAGAACCAGACGAGAGUCAUCAGUUUUUAUAAACGUCAACAGGUUUCCUAGCACAAUAGUUCGUUUAAAUGUACACAAGGUAGGUUACAUAUAUAUCUUUACAAAACACCCCAUAUAUCCAGAAACCUCUUCGACACAAAGCAAAUCAAGUUUACAUCAUCCUGCUACUCUCCCUUGAAGAUUCGUCUGCAACCUUAGCUUGCAACACAUCUCAAUCAUACAUUCCUUCCUGCUCCCAAACAUCUACAAGAAAAUCUACCAUUUCAGCAAGUGGGAUACGCUUGGGAAAUGGCUUGUUGCUCCCCAGCAGACUAUCAUAAGUAGCAUUCCAACUUAAUUUGGGUUCAAGAAGCUGUUUUGGUUGCUUCUCCGGACUUUUUCGUCCGACCCACUGCUGUCUGAUUUGGUUCCAGCGAAUAAAUCCAUGAUUUACAAAUUCAGAAUGGUUGUUUGUAUUUGCAGCGCCAUGAGCAUCGGGUGCCUGAGUAGAUGUACUAAUUGACGAGAUGCUUCCUUGUGAUUGAGCUGCACUGUAGUUGUCCAUGUCACCCGUACUGGUACUCCAAAAGUCCGCCGACAGUUUAGCUUUAUGUACUAAAUGAUCUAGAUGUUUCUUCUCCUUCAGAUGCUCAUGAACUGAAGAUGUUAAUUUGGUUUUACUAACGGACCCCAGACAACCACCCAUGCAUGCGAAUGCGAUGAAUUGGAUGAACCAAGCUGAAAUAGAUCCGAUUUGAAACAAUGCUGCCACUAUAAACAACGAACAGACGAAAACAAAAAAUUCACAAGGCCUUUAAGAUUGAGAGAGAAAGAGCGAUCACUCUCCGGGAGAAAACCUCCAGAAAGUGGAUGCGGUGCCGAAACGGAG
Molecule: unclassified non-coding RNA, 886 nt
Filed under: Hevea brasiliensis (rubber tree)
Lineage: Eukaryota; Viridiplantae; Streptophyta; Magnoliopsida; Malpighiales; Euphorbiaceae
Source: RNAcentral